AUAGUUCAAGCCUGAAUUUCAAUGAGAUGGGAACACUUUUUAGUAUAAACGCAAGAUUUUCAUGUCUCCCUUUUAGGAAAAAUAGGGAUUAUGGCGUUCAUCUGUUUCAUCCAGAACUCGAAGCAAAACCCUAAACCUCAGACUCUUCCAGCAUGUCUGAUCCAAUCAAACAAGGGAAGAUGCUGCGGGUGCUUUGUAUGCUAAGGAAGUGCUACGAUGCCAUCGUCUGUCCAGGAAAAGAAAGGAACACCCAUCCAUGUGGUUAAGCCAUCAGAAAACUGGAGCAUUGGGAAUAAAGGAAUUAUUUCCACGAGACAAGCACGCCAGCCAUUGGCUCAUAAUGAGCUGAAAGACCAAUGACUGCUUCUCAGAGACUCCCAAGGGCCCAGUGUCCUGGGGGCAGACCUGUGGCUGAGUCAGCAUGGUGCACAGCAGAAAGUGGGGGGAGAGUGGCCAGCGCUGCCCCGGCGGGCUCUGUCUGCAUCACCUGGAGCGGCACAGACCCUUCAGUCUCCAUUCUCUCUUCAGGAAAGAGGCCUACUCGCAGAUGAACACACCAAGGCUCAGAGACAAAGCAAAUCCGUGGGAUGCCGAGGGCACUUGGAUAACUUCCGCUCUGGAGAGAAGCCCAAACUCCGCGUCCCGGAGACCUGAAGUGUGGCCGCCAGUGGACACCCAGCUGAGGGAUGAGCAGCAAUGAAUGAGAGUUCCUAUUGCUCCACGUCCUCACCGCAUUUGCUGCUAUCUGUGCCCUGGAUUUGGGCCAUUCUGAUAGGUGUGUGGUAUCCAGUAGGUGUGUCUCGUUGUUUUAAUUUGCAUUUCUCUGAUGACAUAUGAUGUGGAUUAUCUUUUCAUCUGCUCAUUUGCCGUCUAUAUAUCUUCUCUGAGGCAUCUGCUCAGAUCUUUGCCUUUGGCCUUUUGUUAUCUUUAAAACACAGAAGGUGGUGCAGGGUGUGUUAAGAAGGCAUGUCUGGGCAAGUGGGUGCCUUUGCCUCUCCCUGCUGCCCCCGCACAGGAUUUCUCCAGGCUGUCUUGUCACCCAAUUCUAUUUGGUUGGGGCCACAUUUACCAGGGAUCCCCACUAUCCCAAAACUCUGCUUGAACACAUUGUCUGUCCAGGAGGGGCCUGUCGAGCUGCAAUUUAUGUUCUAUAGGUUCAGGCAGCUGCUGCUAAAGUGACAAAGUGACUCUCUGACCUGGUUUGCUGAGAUAGUCACAGAUGACACCUCUUAUCCUGGCUUAAUGGUUACAACUCCCACCCCACCAAAGUAUCUCAGUUUGGACAAUAACCACAGUUAUUAUCCUUGGGAAAGGACAUUUGGGCUCUGACAUCUGGCCUGGCUGAAUCACCUCCUCCCUGUUGGAGGGGGUCAGGGGUCAGGGUUGCUUCCCUGAAGCUCUGGAAAGGCCAGUGAAGGUGAAGGAGGUGUGACAGUAGAAACUGCUGCGAAGAGCAGACUCCUCUGUCCAUGGGCAGGGACCUCAAAGGCUUUCACUUCACACCCACCUCCAUCAACGUCAAUGGUCACCAAGGUCCUGAAGCCUUCCUGAAUUUCUUCCUGCAUUUCUCCAACCAGAGCAAUUCUCUUUCUUUGAGUCCUCAAGUCCACACUGAGCUUCUUUCUCCUCCCUUAGCACAUUCCUUCUCCUGAGAGACAGCUUAACAUGCAGCAGCUCUGUGACCUUGGGCCUCAGUUUCCCCAUCUGCAAAAUGAGGAGGGUCAUAGUGCCUGUCUCAGAGAGUCAUGAAGAGGAUAAAGUGAAUGAAUACAUGUAAUGUGCUGGGAGCAGCUUCGGACACAUGGAAAUGUUCGCUAUCAUUUUAAGCACUGAAUCUUAUCUUCCCUCCAGAUUGUAAGCAUCUUUCCUUUAAAAGAGCAAAGUUC
Long non-coding RNA from Pan troglodytes (chimpanzee), 1886 nucleotides. RefSeq lists it as uncharacterized. The transcript is spliced from 3 exons. Lineage: Eukaryota; Metazoa; Chordata; Mammalia; Primates; Hominidae. The record is from RefSeq and is a predicted model, not a curated record.